This 240-nucleotide unclassified non-coding RNA is filed under the name soil metagenome. RNAcentral describes it as "partial contains 5.8S ribosomal RNA, internal transcribed spacer 2, and large subunit ribosomal RNA". The record is from RNAcentral.
AAGACUAUAGACCUGCGGAGUACCUGCGGAAGGAUCAUUAUUGAAUAAACUUGGAACAAGUUGUUGCUGGCUUCAAAAAAAAAAGAAAGCAUGUGCACGCUUGCUCCAUUUUUUUUUUCAAAAACCUCUUGUGCAUCUGUGUAAAUCUGAACCACUUCGAGACAAAGUGAACCCACUUUACUCGGUCUUGAGAAUUGUCAUGCCACAAGGCGAGGCUUUUCUUGUUUUCAGAUUUAUGUA